AAGUAGCCCUGAUGGAAACGGCAUCCUUUUUCUUGUUUCUUUAACAAGGAAAAGAUACAGUGAACAGCAGGAAUAGCU
This 78-nucleotide small RNA is filed under the name Flavobacterium aciduliphilum. RNAcentral describes it as "Flavobacterium sp. JJ013 Flavo-1 RNA". It matches the Rfam family "Flavo-1 RNA". The record is from Rfam by way of RNAcentral. Lineage: Bacteria; Pseudomonadati; Bacteroidota; Flavobacteriia; Flavobacteriales; Flavobacteriaceae.